This is a long non-coding RNA of Pantherophis guttatus, 979 nucleotides long. RefSeq lists it as uncharacterized. The record is from RefSeq and is a predicted model, not a curated record. NCBI's taxonomy places the organism in Eukaryota, Metazoa, Chordata, Lepidosauria, Squamata, Colubridae.
GAUGGUGGUAUGUUUAACAAAACCUACGUCUCCUACUUCAAUCACGCAUCUGGAAAAUACAACCAAAGAAAAAAGGCUAACAUCUACAGGAAGGAAUCCUGAACUGGAGGUGGAGAAUGAGGAAUAAUCAACAAGUGUCUUCUCAUUCAUCUAUCAUAUUCCAAGAAAAGCAACCUACCGAAGAGCACCAUUAUACCCAUAGAAGAUUUCAUUGCUGUUAGGUUUACAUUUGUAUUUCUGAGUCAGGGCACCAUGACCACCGCUGCCUUUGCAUAGUUUGCACAAUGUAGACUCAAGAGGUGCACCCGGCGCACAGCUUUCUCUGAAGAAUGUAUCUAGCAUGGGAUCAGAGAACAAACAUUUUAAUACUUUUAUAUAUAUUAUUAUAACAUACUCCAAUUGGUUGUCGUGUUGGAUUUCAGUUUGCAUAGUCCCCAGAAAGCAUGGGAAAUGCAUCAGAUUGGGUGAUCUAGGUCUAGCAAUCCUGUAGUUGUAAUAAAGCUAACUAUUGACAACUAGAUCUACAAAAUCUGGACCCAAAUCCAAAAUAUUAUUAUUGGGAAGCAUGGCCAGCUUAAAAAUGCCAACUUCAGAAUUCUGGUUUUUCAAAAUAUGUAACUGACUAUCACAUUACAAAUUAAGGAACUACCAACAGCAGGGUUCCUCAAGAGGAACCCAGAAUUUGCUCUCAGUCGUAUUAGGUUAAAAAGAAAAAACUGUGCUGGUUUUUUCCAAAGAAUGACCAGCUCCAAUAAAGAGGAUCAGUUGCAGAGGUGGUUACCAGUUUAUCUGCUGGAAAAAGUGCAUUUUGUGAUUGGUAAUGUUAAAAAAGGUAGCCAUUUUAUGAAAGGCAAGCCUUCCCAUUGGUAGCCAUUUUGUGAGGAUACAUACAAACAUACCUUCACAAAUCAGAAAGACUCUGGGAGCACCUUAUCUGAUUAAUAAAUUUUCUGAGUAAUAAAAGCCUAUCAUAAACGUA